Molecule: ribosomal RNA, 253 nt
Filed under: uncultured bacterium
Lineage: Bacteria
Description: partial 16S ribosomal RNA
Rfam family: Bacterial small subunit ribosomal RNA
Source: RNAcentral
UACAGAGGUCCCAAGCGUUGUUCGGAUUCACUGGGCGUAAAGGGCGCGUAGGUGGUCUGAUAAGGGUGUGGUGAAAGCCCGGGGCUCAACCCCGGGUCGGCCGUGCCGACUGUUAGACUAGAGUGCUGUAGGGGCAGGCGGAAUUCCGGGUGUAGCGGUGGAAUGCGUAGAGAUCCGGAGGAAGACCGGUGGCGAAGGCGGCCUGCUGGGCAGUUACUGACACUGAGGCGCGACAGCGUGGGGAGCAAACAGG